UCUCUCGGUCUCUCCCGACUAUACAGUGAAAAAAGGCAAACAGAGAGGCGACGCGAGAGGGUGUUUUCCGGCGGGCCGCCGUCGGGCUCUGGGAGGUGGGGAAGACAGCGGAGGGCUGCGUCGCGGUUGUAGAUAAUGGUGUUUUAGGAUUUGAUUCUGGCGUUGGCGGGCAGGCGGGGCGACUUUGAUGAAGUGGAAUAAGGUUCCUCCGGCUCCUUCCCGUCGCGGCGGUGCUCCCUCUGAUGGCGCUGCGGCUCUAGGGAGGUUGGUCUCUCUCUGAUCCGGGCAUCCGGCGAGGUUUGGUUGGUGAAGGGGUUGUACAGAAGUUGGGAUUUGUGGAGAGGGAUUCCCAGAUCCGGUCACCACGGACGACCGGCAGGUGCGGGCGAAGUUGUUGGAGUUGCUGCUGCACUCCGGUGUAGGCUGGCGCUGGUGGCAGCUUCAAGGACUGGGGAGCAGGGGUACCCCCGACUGAUGCACCGAACCCGCCCCUGGUUCUGUCUUAUGCGGCCGGACUUGUAUGCGGCCCACAAAGCCAUGGAUUGGCGAUAGUGCUCCUCGCACCGGCGGGUGCAGAGAUCAGCAUGCCUUGGUGAAGAAUUAAGAUGAGCUGGGCUCAGCGGCAGGAUCUCCAUGAGUAGGCCAUGGAGGAUAUCUGCCGGUGGCGACCUACUCGUUCCCGAUGGCUCCGGUGCCCCAAGGUAAAAAAGAAGAAGAUGAUGAUGAUUCAGUUAUCAAGAGGAUGUCUGAACUCUAAACCUGAAGGACAGGAAAUCAAACUUGAGGAGGAUAAUGGAAGAGAAGAAGAAGCAGACAUUAGGAUAAUGAAACAGAAGGAGUAGAUAAUGAGGAUGGUACUGAAAGAGAAGACGAGAUGCACCUUGGCUAAGUAAAGAGCUAGACCUAAAAUUGCCCAUAAAGGGAAUCAGGUCCCUUUCUCUAUCGGUGACAUCUUAGCUGCCGUCGAUUAGGUGCAUAUUUCACGAGAUAAUCUCGUUCUAACAUGUCUCUAAUUUUGAUUUUUCCUGCGGAUUUCAAAAUAUAGAAGGCAGCUUCGAAGAGGGGUCACUGGCGAGCAACAGAAAUAAUUCCUGGAGCAGGUUUCAGUGAAGACUACUGAUUUAGAAUUGGCUGUACGUUCAUGAACAAAUUUCUGUUGCUGAAAUAAGUCAUGGUGCAGACUUCAGUGAGGACUACUGAUCUAGAAGUCGUAUGUUCAUGAACAAUUUUUUGUUGCUCUGACUGAACGGUUUGUCUCUGUAAUUCUUAUCUGUUUGGGUGGUGCCCAGCUGCCAAUAGAAGACAAGCUGUCUUCUUGCCGAACAACGCCACAAUUGCAUAGUUCCAUGUUAUUUAGGAUUGUCUCUGUCGCAUACGACUUGGAGUUACAAGAGGUCCGGUACUAAUUUUGUGUAUGUAUGUACAUGUGCACUCGCCUGCUCUAUAUACACAUGAUUUGGAAGCAUCUUUUGCUGUACAUUUUGUUUCUUUGCUCGGUCCAAAAUAUUGCAAGUGUUGUUCAUUUUUUCCCCUUUUAUGUAAAUAUACUACAGACCUUCUACAUGCUCAGUUUUCUUCC
This is a long non-coding RNA of Triticum dicoccoides, 1579 nucleotides long. RefSeq lists it as uncharacterized. Lineage: Eukaryota; Viridiplantae; Streptophyta; Magnoliopsida; Poales; Poaceae. The record is from RefSeq and is a predicted model, not a curated record. The transcript is spliced from 4 exons.